GGGUCAUAACGCGUGAGAAUCUACCUUUAGGACGGGGACAACAAUUGGAAACGAUUGCUAAUACCCGAUAUGCCCUUCGGGGUGAAAUGUUUUUUCGCCUAAAGAUGAGCUCGCGUCCGAUUAGCUAGUAGGUAGUGUAAUGGACUACCUAGGCGAUGAUCGGUAGCUGGUUUGAGAGGACAAUCAGCCACACUGGGACUGAGACACGGCCCAGACUCCUACGGGAGGCAGCAGUGGGGAAUUUUCCGCAAUGGGCGCAAGCCUGACGGAGCAAUACCGCGUGGGGGAGGAAGGUCUGUGGAUUGUAAACCCCUUUUCUCAGGGAAGAAGCUCUGACGGUACCUGAGGAAUCAGCAUCGGCUAACUCCGUGCCAGCAGCCGCGGUAAUACGGAGGAUGCAAGCGUUAUCCGGAAUUAUUGGGCGUAAAGCGUCCGCAGGCGGCUAGAUAAGUCUGCUUUCAAAGAGUGGGGCUCAACCCCAUAAAGGGAGUGGAAACUGUUUAGCUAGAGUAUGGUAGGGGCAGAGGGAAUUCCCAGUGUAGCGGUGAAAUGCGUAGAUAUUGGGAAGAACACCAGUGGCGAAGGCGCUCUGCUGGACCGAGACUGACGCUGAUGACAAAUCAAAGUU
Molecule: ribosomal RNA, 628 nt
Filed under: Anagnostidinema amphibium NTSM02
Lineage: Bacteria; Bacillati; Cyanobacteriota; Cyanophyceae; Coleofasciculales; Wilmottiaceae
Description: bacterial SSU rRNA
Rfam family: Bacterial small subunit ribosomal RNA
Source: RNAcentral